AGGUCUUGACAUCCUCUGACAACCCUAGAGAUAGGGCUUUCCCUUCGGGGACAGAGUGACAGGUGGUGCAUGGUUGUCGUCAGCUCGUGUCGUGAGAUGUUGGGUUGAGUCCCGCAACGAGCGCAACCCUUGAUCUUAGUUGCCAGCAUUCAGUUGGGCACUCUAAGGUGACUGCCGGUGACAAACCGGAGGAAGGUGGGGAUGACGUCAAAUCAUCAUGCCCCUUAUGACCUGGGCUACACACGUGCUACAAUGGACAAUACAAAGGGUUGCGAGACCGCGAGGUGGAGCGAAUCCCAUAAAAUUGUUCUCAGUUCGGAUUGCAGGCUGCAACUCGCCUGCAUGAAGCCGGAAUCGCUAGUAAUCGCGGAUCAGCAUGCCGCGG
RNAcentral lists this ribosomal RNA (385 nucleotides) under uncultured Bacillus sp. RNAcentral describes it as "bacterial SSU rRNA". It matches the Rfam family "Bacterial small subunit ribosomal RNA", at positions 976 to 1362 of the family's 1533-position model. The record is from RNAcentral. Lineage: Bacteria; Bacillati; Bacillota; Bacilli; Caryophanales; Bacillaceae.